This 677-nucleotide ribosomal RNA is filed under the name uncultured bacterium. Its description in RNAcentral is "bacterial SSU rRNA". It matches the Rfam family "Bacterial small subunit ribosomal RNA", at positions 1 to 664 of the family's 1533-position model. The record is from RNAcentral.
CCGAAUUCUCCGACACAGAGUUUGAUCCUGGCUCAGAUUGAACGCUGGCGGCAGGCCUAACACAUGCAAGUCGAGCGGAUGAUGGGAGCUUGCUCCCGGAUUCAGCGGCGGACGGGUGAGUAAUGCCUAGGAAUCUGCCUGGUAGUGGGGGACAACGUUUCGAAAGGAACGCUAAUACCGCAUACGUCCUACGGGAGAAAGCAGGGGACCUUCGGGCCUUGCGCUAUCAGAUGAGCCUAGGUCGGAUUAGCUAGUUGGUGGGGUAAAGGCCUACCAAGGCGACGAUCCGUAACUGGUCUGAGAGGAUGAUCAGUCACACUGGAACUGAGACACGGUCCAGACUCCUACGGGAGGCAGCAGUGGGGAAUAUUGGACAAUGGGCGAAAGCCUGAUCCAGCCAUGCCGCGUGUGUGAAGAAGGUCUUCGGAUUGUAAAGCACUUUAAGUUGGGAGGAAGGGCAGUAAGUUAAUACCUUGCUGUUUUGACGUUACCAACAGAAUAAGCACCGGCUAACUUCGUGCCAGCAGCCGCGGUAAUACGAAGGGUGCAAGCGUUAAUCGGAAUUACUGGGCGUAAAGCGCGCGUAGGUGGUUUGGUAAGAUGGAUGUGAAAUCCCCGGGGCUCACCUGGGAACUGCAUCCAUAACUGCCUGACUAGAGUACGGUAGAGGGUGGGGG